AAGGCACUCCACAGCGGUGGACACAUCAGACUGGAUCGCGACUGCAGAGGGAACAGAAUUGUGCAGUUCUUCUGGACAUAUGUCGACCUAAGAUAUCAACGAAUAUGUACUUCAACGAUUAUCAUCUGAGUCGAUGCUAAGUCAUACCUGUAUGACUUUCACGUUAGACUGAAAACGAGGCGGUUUGCCAAAAUGUAACAUCCAGUUUAAUCGUGCGCCCAAUAACAAUAUAACGUCGCUCUGUUGCAACGCGAAAGUUCUCGCGCUAGAAACGCAUCGUUCAUCCGUAUCCGGUACAACGCCCUUUCCCAUUGGCGUUGGAAGGAAAGGAAUACCAGUCGAAUACACAAGGCUGCGAAUUUCUUUCUCCGCUCUGCCAUAAGCAGCUCCUGCACAUUGUAAACACAAGUUAACCCCUCGCCCUACAACAACGAGCGAGACUCGCGGUGAAGAUUUUCAACGUGAUUCGACAAAUAUACGUAUUACUCGGUUCAUUCGAAUUCAAAUGAAUUAUUAACGACAAAGUAACGAUAUCGAUCAGAGUUGAGAAAUAAAUCAUAGGCCAAGAAAAAUCAACCUUUCCCGAUGAUUAACAGUGGUCUCUUCGCUUUCAUCAGCAAAUUGGCUGCUUCUUGUAUCAAUUGACGGUCGGGAAAUAUCAAUGGCGGCGGAGGGCAACGCGAAACUUUGUAUAUUUUCCCUUCGUCGACGGUCUGCUUCAGCACAGUGGCCGGGAAGUCCAGGUAUACCUGGUCGGCCGUAAGUAGAGAGGCGAACGGCUUUUUCCACGUGAAGCGGUAUCAGCGCGGCCAGCGGCGGUCUGGCGGCGUAUUUGCAAUUGGGUUUACUGGCUUCUACCUGUGGCCACUCCUGGAACCCGCCGAUACCCUCAUGAUCCUCGGGGCAGGAUCCACCAACUACAAUGAGUGGCCUAAACAAAAAUGAACGGUGAGCGAGAGGAUCCGGACGAUGCUCACCAGCAGUUCACUUGAGCAUUGGCCAUUCCGCCGAUAACGUGGAGCAAUCCUGGCCCGGAAACACACAGCACGACCGCUGGUUUUCCUAAUUGAAAUAAAGGAGAGAUAAGAAUCUCGGCUCAAUUUAGAUAAAAUGGUUUAAACUCGCGUUUAAACAGCAAUCGUGCGAGAGGAUAACGAUUAUUUCUGUUAUGUUUUUCAAGUCAACCGCUCGGUUUUGCGCGCACGUUCUUGUUUGCGCUCGUGUUUAUGGCCCUUGUCCCGUGUCCUUACUCACUGGUCAGAUAUCCGUAUGCCUGGGCGGCGUAGCAGGCAGCCUGCUCGUUUCGGAAACCGAGGUAUUGAAGACCCACGGCCUGCAUCUGUAGCGCUAGGUCGAUCACAGGGUGUCCCAUGAUUCCGAAGACAUACUCCACGCCCUGUGAAACAAUUGGAAAAUGUCAGAAUGAAAUAAAUGUUACUUUAUUAACGCUAGGUUCACGGGCAUUUA
Molecule: non-coding RNA, 1467 nt
Organism: Nomia melanderi (Alkali bee)
Lineage: Eukaryota; Metazoa; Arthropoda; Insecta; Hymenoptera; Halictidae
Source: RefSeq, a predicted model, not a curated record